This is a long non-coding RNA of Phyllostomus hastatus (greater spear-nosed bat), 1680 nucleotides long. RefSeq lists it as uncharacterized. NCBI's taxonomy places the organism in Eukaryota, Metazoa, Chordata, Mammalia, Chiroptera, Phyllostomidae. The transcript has 4 exons. The record is from RefSeq and is a predicted model, not a curated record.
AGUUUGGCUCUGGGGUUUCCAGGCCCUUCCUGGAGGAAGCAUGUACCCUGCCGAGCAGAGGGCAGCAGAGUGGAAAGAGGCUGAAUUCCAGGUUCCCUGGGGCAGAGUGGCAGGAACGUGUCUCUCGCUUCCCCCAGCAGAGUUCCUUCCAGAGGCAGCUGGGCCCGGCCUGGGUGGCUCUAGCUGGACAAAGGUGGCAGCCUUUGGCAUUGAUGGGCACAUCUGGAUGGUAGUGUUUGGCCUCCUGGGCAGUUCCUGGGCUUGGAGGGAUCUCUGAAGGCUGAGUGUUCCCGUGGCCGCAGGCCCGAGAUGGGGGCUUCCAAAUGAGACGAAUACCAGCUUCCUCCUAAAAUAUCCUCAGCAGGGGCAACAUUUACCAUGCAAGGCGACUACAAACCAAGAUGAAUCAUGGUUCGGACUUCUCCUUUAUGCCCCGCCUCACUGUCUUUUAUCCAUGUCCGCAGUGCUGUUCUCAGGAGUCAGGAGAAAAGAGGAAAAUCAAUGACUGACCUGCCUACGAGCCACACUCGGUUAACCUGGCUUGAAAGGGCUUACCCACUUGACACUCCGAGGGAAACCAAGCAGGACUUCUCAGCACGCAGGGCACUUGGCGAUCCCCUGGGUUCAGGACACACGCUCUCAGCCUUUAAAAGCAUAACUCCGAGAAGGACUCCAUGGCACAAAAGCAGUUCCGAGCUCCUGUGUCCUCAUCACUGGGUGACCUGCACACACAGGGAUGGUCCUUCUGAGCCUCCGAAGUCACGUCAAUGCCUCAGCCCGUCCAGUCUGAGCCUGUGUCAUCAGCUGAGUGAGGUCAGGGCUGGUAGAGAGUUGGGCUCUUCUGAAAAGCUCACCCUAGGAGACUUGUCAUCUUUGGGGCAGCUCCACUUGUUUGAGAAUCCAGCUUCCUUCCACAGCCUUCAUGGGAAUUACGUAUUCAAGAAGUACCACCAGCAAGCAUGAGUCACAGCUCUUUUGGAUGGUGGGGAACAGAAAUCUGUUCACUCCAGCCCAUAGCAAGGCUUUGGGGUACUGACCUAGAGUUCUCAUGAAAACAGGACACAGCAAGGCCACCUGGGAGUAGGAAGCUACCCAAGACCUAGGUGCCUACUUUCUGCAUCCUCCAGGAGCCUCCUGCCCUUGGCUUCUUUCCGCCCCUCUGGCUCAUUCUCCUUUUCUGACCUCCUUUGUUUUCUCGUGAGAUCUGCUGACCCAUAACUUCAGUUCAGACUCCUUCCAGAGCUCACUGGAGCCCUGAUACCCAUGGUCUUGCAGCCCCACUUCCAGCAGCUCAUUGGCUGUGAUGUUUCUAGGGGCACACACAUCUCCAGUUCUCCUCUUCUUCUGGGCUCUCGGAAAGAUGGCACAUCCCUACACUACAGCAGUCAGGUAGGGCCAUGUGACUGUUCUGGCCAAUGGGCUGUGAGAGGAAGGGAGCAGGUGUCACCUUCCAGUCAAAGCACUUGAAAGCCACGUAAGCCCCUCCUGGGGUUUCCUCUUCUGCCUGGUGAACACUGAAGCCUCCCUUGGAAGAUGACGGUGAACCUCUGUCAACCCGGGGCCUGAGGAAUGAUUCUGUGGAGCAGAGAACUCUCUGCCCCACCCCCUCCCCAAAACCCACACUGCCAUGUAAUGCCAGGAAUGAACCAUGAGCAAAAGAAUAAACUUUGUUUUAAUCCA